GAUUGGUCAACGGAUGACCGCAGAACGCUAGAUCGCGUUCGCGCAUGUUUCCUGCUAACAACAUAUAGUACCAGAGUACCCGUCAUGCGACAUUUAUUUUAUUGAUUUUACAAAUUUCCUUGGGUGUAGCAAGAAAAUUGCUACCAAAAACAAUACAUGUGACUUUCCACACCCAAUGAAAUGUUCCAUUUCAAAGAGAAGAUCAUCAGAAUUUCCUGUCCUACACCUAAAAAGAUAUUCAAGAGAAAGUUGCAGAGGAGUGUAAAGAGGUGUUUGUAUUUUUCUCCUGCCCAGAAACAAGUUGCCCCGCUUACCAGCUUUACAAACGUCUACAUCCAGAUCGCCGCUGAUUCCAUGAGGGAACUUUGUGUUGA
Long non-coding RNA from Osmia bicornis bicornis, 374 nucleotides. RefSeq lists it as uncharacterized. The transcript is spliced from 3 exons. NCBI's taxonomy places the organism in Eukaryota, Metazoa, Arthropoda, Insecta, Hymenoptera, Megachilidae. The record is from RefSeq and is a predicted model, not a curated record.